AUUUAUGUAGUUUACAUAAAACAUUACAUUUUCACUGUAAAAAUAAAAUAAUAUUUUCAUAAAUA
This 65-nucleotide transfer RNA is filed under the name Symploce tubercularis. Its description in RNAcentral is "tRNA-Glu". The record is from RNAcentral. Lineage: Eukaryota; Metazoa; Arthropoda; Insecta; Blattodea; Blattellidae.